Molecule: long non-coding RNA, 479 nt
Filed under: Androctonus crassicauda
Lineage: Eukaryota; Metazoa; Arthropoda; Arachnida; Scorpiones; Buthidae
Source: RNAcentral
UUUUCUCAUGAUGGCUACGAAGCGAAAUAUAUCGGCAUUUGGUCGUUUGGCACUGGCCAUAAUGCGCUGUGGCUGUGUUUUUGUCAUUGUGCGAUUUCGGUGUUUGAGCGUAACAUAUACACCUUCGCCUUAUGAUCUCACCGUAUUCAUUAAAUAUAUAUGGAUUUCUUCGUGUUUUAAUGUGAAACGAUAUUUUUUUGCAAUUCAGUUAUGUCUAUUUAUAUGCUAAAUUACAAUUCUGUAAUUUUGUGCUUUAGUAUGUUUAUAACUUUAUUUUUGUUAUAAAUUUUAAAUGUUUCUUAAAAACAAAUAAAACUUUUUUAAAUGUAACGUUGUUAAUAAAUAAUAUAUUUGAAUCGAAUUUUUUCGUACAAUUUAUUUUGUAAUUCCGCAUUACUGUGAUGUACUAUACCUCAGAGGUGGCCAACAAGUCGAUCGCAAAGCCAACUUUAGUCGAUUGCACGCGAUAUUUUAACUUA